This 30-nucleotide non-coding RNA is filed under the name Rattus norvegicus (Norway rat). Lineage: Eukaryota; Metazoa; Chordata; Mammalia; Rodentia; Muridae. The record is from RNAcentral.
UACGAUCAGAACACUUUAGGACCUCUCUGU